Molecule: non-coding RNA, 148 nt
Filed under: Pan paniscus (pygmy chimpanzee)
Lineage: Eukaryota; Metazoa; Chordata; Mammalia; Primates; Hominidae
Also listed under: 1 other name
Source: Rfam by way of RNAcentral
GCUGGGCGUGGCGGCGUGCACCUGUAAUCCUAGCUACUUGGGAGGCUGAGGCAGGAGAAUUGCUUGAACCCAGGAGGCAGAGGUUGCUGUGAGCCGAGAUUGUGCCACUGCACUCCAGCCUGGGCAACAGAGCAAGACUCUGUCUCAA